GUAAUUUUAGUUUAUUUAGAACGUUUAUUUUGCAUGUAAGAGGUCCAAUUUAGUUGUUGGAAAUUACA
RNAcentral lists this transfer RNA (68 nucleotides) under Pseudocolochirus violaceus. RNAcentral's name for it is "tRNA-Ala". The record is from RNAcentral. Lineage: Eukaryota; Metazoa; Echinodermata; Holothuroidea; Dendrochirotida; Cucumariidae.